CUUCAUUGAUGACUGCUUAUCUCACCAACACACUUGUGAUUCUUAACCCGAUACUUCCACGAGAAGCUUUGGCCGCAAAUUGAGCAGGAAAAGGGUUUCUCACCAGUGUGGGUUCUUGUGUGUCUUUUUAAGCUUCCCUUCUCAGAGAAUCUUUGACCACAAACUGUGCAGGAAAAAGGCUUCUCAUCAGGGUGUGUUCUUGUGUGUUCAGUCAAUUGUUCCUUUGUCAAGUACCUUUUGUUACAAA
Hippocampus zosterae (dwarf seahorse) is the source of this 247-nucleotide long non-coding RNA. RefSeq lists it as uncharacterized. The transcript is spliced from 2 exons. The record is from RefSeq and is a predicted model, not a curated record. NCBI's taxonomy places the organism in Eukaryota, Metazoa, Chordata, Actinopteri, Syngnathiformes, Syngnathidae.